CGAUCGCUGGCGGCAUGCUAUCAUGCAAGUCGACCUGAAGCACUCUGCUUGCAGAGUGCGGAUGAUUGCGACGGGUGAGUAACACGUGGGAAAUCUGCCUAUAGUGGGGGAUCACAUUCGGAAUCGGAUGCCUAAUGCCGCAUAUAUUCUUGGCCGCUGGUCCUUGACAGACAGCGGCUUCGCUGUCGCUUAUAGAUGAUCCCGCGGCGUCUAGUUAGUUGGUGGGGUAAAGGCCUCCAAGACAAUGAACGUAGCCGUACCUGAGAGGGUGAUCGGCCACACUGGGCUGAGACACGGCCCAGACUCCUACGGGAGGCAGCAGUAGGGAAUCUUCCGCAAUGGGCGAAAGCCUGAUGGAGCAAUGCCGCGUGAAUGAAGAAGGUCUUCGGAUCGUAAAGUUCUGUUAUUAGAGAAGACAAGUCAAGGAGUAACUGUCUUGACUUUGACGGUACCUAACAGA
Molecule: ribosomal RNA, 460 nt
Filed under: Firmicutes bacterium oral taxon D73
Lineage: Bacteria; Bacillati; Bacillota
Description: bacterial SSU rRNA
Rfam family: Bacterial small subunit ribosomal RNA
Source: RNAcentral